Molecule: ribosomal RNA, 300 nt
Filed under: Rhizophagus intraradices
Lineage: Eukaryota; Fungi; Glomeromycota; Glomeromycetes; Glomerales; Glomeraceae
Source: RNAcentral
CAGUCGUACCGGCGGAUAAUCAGCCUUUCGGGUGCGAUUCUGUGGGGCGUGAGGAGCUUAACCGCCUUCAUGUUUUGCAUAUUCGUAUACUUUGGGUGUACUUAUUCGUGUGGUAAGUUAACAUCAAUUUUGGUGAUCAUAAAAUGACUAGAGGAAUGUAGCUUCGAUCUCGUAUUGAAGUGUUAUAGCCUUUGGAGAUGUGAUGAUCUGGAUUGAGGAUUGGCAACGGAUACCCUUCGGGGCUACUUGUCUGUUCUCUGAUUGUUGCUCUGGUGCUGAAAGCUUGCUUAUGGCUAUCAG